This 465-nucleotide ribosomal RNA is filed under the name uncultured bacterium. RNAcentral describes it as "bacterial SSU rRNA". It matches the Rfam family "Bacterial small subunit ribosomal RNA", at positions 338 to 795 of the family's 1533-position model. The record is from RNAcentral.
CCUACGGGCUGCACCAGUAGUGAAUCUUCGGCAAUGGACGAAAGUCUGACCGAGCAACGCCGCGUGAGUGAAGAAGGUUUUCGGAUCGUAAAACUCUGUUGGUAGAGAAGAACGUUGGCGAGAGUGGAAAGCUCAUCAAGUGACGGUAACUACCCAGAAAGGGACGGCUAACUACGUGCCAGCAGCCGCGGUAAUACGUAGGUCCCGAGCGUUGUCCGGAUUUAUUGGGCGUAAAGCGAGCGCAGGUGGUUUAUUAAGUCUGGUGUAAAAGGCAGUGGCUCAACCAUUGUAUGCAUUGGGAACUGGUAGACUUGAGUGCAGGAGAGGAGAGUGGAAUUCCAUGUGUAGCGGUGAAGUGCGUAGAUAUAUGGAGGAACACCGGUGGCGAAAGCGGCUCUCUGGCCUGUAACUGACACUGAGGCUCGAAAGCGUGGGGAGCAAACAGGAUUAGAUACCCCGGUAGUC